AUGGAUCCGUCGCCGAACUCGCACCCGAUCCUCUCCUAUGUGCUCUCCCGCCUCCCGUCGAUCAAGACGGGGUCCCUGAGGCUCUCCUCCCCGCACGACCUCGAGCAGCCGCCGCCGCCGUCCCCGUCCCCGCGCGCCCCGUCGGGCCCCGCGGAGUUCGAGCUCGUGGAGCGCAUGCCUGGCCUCCGCCACCCGUCCGUCCUCCGGUUCUUGACGCGCGCAGUCGCCGACAUCACCUGCGCGCGCGACGCGCUCCGCCACCUCGGCCCCCGCCCCGAUCACGAGCUGGUCGACUCCGCCCGCGCCUUCCUCCUCUCGCACUCCCAUGGAAACCUCGUCGGAUUGGAUAUCGAAGAGAAGGUGGUGGAGAGCCUGGAGGUGGUCCGGUUAGACGAGGAGCACGAGGCUUACGGUGUCCUGCUGCGGGAGGCGGAGGAGAAGCUGGAGCUGGUGUACCGGAUGGCGAUGCACGGGAGGGACGUGGCGGAAGGGGGCGGCGAGAGAAGGGAGGACGAGGGAUCCGGCGAUGUGGACGAGGAGGUGGUGAGGCUGCUCAAGCAGGCGCAGGAAGGGAGGGUGGUGGAGCAGGUGCGCCUCGCCGACCGCCAGCUACUCCACCUGCCUGAGCCCUUGGGCCGGAUCCGCGGCCUCCUCGUGCUCGACGUCUCGCGCAACCAGCUCCAGGCUGUCCCCGAUGCCAUAGGCGGGCUUCAACAUCUGGAAGAACUCCGGCUCGCUUCCAACGUCUUGGUCUCCCUCCCGGAUUCCAUCGGGCUUCUCUCCAACCUGAAGGUGCUCGACGUCUCCAGCAACAAGCUCAGAUCUCUGCCCGACAGCAUCUCAAGAUGCGGGUCACUGGUCGAGCUGGACGCGAGCUGCAACGUUCUGGCGUACCUCCCGACGGGCAUCGGCUACGAGCUGGUGAACCUGCAGAAGCUCUGGGUGCACCUCAACAAGCUGCGCUCGCUGCCGUCCUCCAUCUGCGAGAUGCGGUCCCUGCGCCUCCUGGAUGUGCACUUCAACGAGCUCCGCGGCCUGCCCUCCUCCUUCGGCAAACUGGUGGCGCUUGAGUCGCUCAACCUGAGCAGCAACUUCAGCGACAUGCGGGACCUGCCGGCGUCGUUCGGCGACCUGGUCGGCCUUCGUGAGCUCGACCUCAGCAACAACCAGAUACACGCGCUGCCGGACUGCUUCGGAAGACUUGACCGGCUUGAGCGGCUCUGCCUGGACCAGAACCCGCUGGUCGUGCCGCCCCUGGAGGUGGUGGCCAAGGGCGUCGGAGCGGUGAGGGAGUACAUGGACAAGAGGCUGCAGGCCGAGGAGGAGCGGCGGAAGAGCGCCGUGGCGGCUGGGAGCCCCAAGGCGUCGUCGCCAAUUGCGUGGCUGUCCCGGAGCGUGUCGUCUCUGAGCACCUGGGUUUCGGACGUCGCCGGGCCGGAGAAGGCGGUGGAGGAGGACAAGUUCCUCGAGCAGGAGCUGUGA
RNAcentral lists this ribosomal RNA (1482 nucleotides) under Triticum aestivum (bread wheat). RNAcentral's name for it is "partial small subunit ribosomal RNA". Lineage: Eukaryota; Viridiplantae; Streptophyta; Magnoliopsida; Poales; Poaceae. The record is from RNAcentral.